RNAcentral lists this transfer RNA (87 nucleotides) under Laccaria bicolor S238N-H82. It matches the Rfam family "tRNA". Rfam says of the family: Transfer RNA (tRNA) molecules are approximately 80 nucleotides in length. Their secondary structure includes four short double-helical elements and three loops (D, anti-codon, and T loops). Further hydrogen bonds mediate the characteristic L-shaped molecular structure. tRNAs have two regions of fundamental functional importance: the anti-codon, which is responsible for specific mRNA codon recognition, and the 3' end, to which the tRNAs corresponding amino acid is attached (by aminoacyl-tRNA synthetases). tRNAs cope with the degeneracy of the genetic code in two manners: having more than one tRNA (with a specific anti-codon) for a particular amino acid; and 'wobble' base-pairing, i.e. permitting non-standard base-pairing at the 3rd anti-codon position. The record is from Rfam by way of RNAcentral. Lineage: Eukaryota; Fungi; Basidiomycota; Agaricomycetes; Agaricales; Hydnangiaceae.
GCAUUAAUGGGGUAGUUGUAGCCUGGGUCAUUGCUAAGCUUGCCAGGCAUGAUUGACCCACUGGGGGUUCAAUUCCCUCUUAAUGCA